GAUGAACGCUAGCUACAGGCUUAACACAUGCAAGUCGAGGGGAAACGACAUCGAAAGCUUGCUUUUGAUGGGCGUCGACCGGCGCACGGGUGAGUAACGCGUAUCCAACCUGCCCAUCACUUGGGAAUAACCUUGCGAAAGUAAGACUAAUACCCAAUGACAUCCCACGAAGACAUCUGAAUGGGAUUAAAGAUUUAUCGGUGAUGGAUGGGGAUGCGUCUGAUUAGCUUGUUGGCGGGGUAACGGCCCACCAAGGCAACGAUCAGUAGGGGUUCUGAGAGGAAGGUCCCCCACAUUGGAACUGAGACACGGUCCAAACUCCUACGGGAGGCAGCAGUGAGGAAUAGUGGUCAAUGGGCGAGAGCCUGAACCAGCCAAGUAGCGUGCAGGAUGACGGCCCUAUGGGUUGUAAACUGCUUUUAUAAGGGAAUAAAGUGGGUCUCGGGAGACUUUUUGCAUGUACCUUAUGAAUAAGGACCGGCUAAUUCCGUG
RNAcentral lists this ribosomal RNA (492 nucleotides) under uncultured bacterium. RNAcentral describes it as "partial 16S ribosomal RNA". It matches the Rfam family "Bacterial small subunit ribosomal RNA", at positions 28 to 507 of the family's 1533-position model. The record is from RNAcentral.